This 1393-nucleotide long non-coding RNA is filed under the name Callithrix jacchus (white-tufted-ear marmoset). Its description in RNAcentral is "lncRNA (ENSCJAG00000086531.1)". Lineage: Eukaryota; Metazoa; Chordata; Mammalia; Primates; Cebidae. The record is from RNAcentral.
AAGGGGGAUACGUGUAAACCACAAGAAGACCAGGCCAGGAGUUUCUCCACCCCCACUCCCCAGGUGAAGGUAGCCUAGACUAGUGUGGUGAUGGAAGAGACAGAGGAGGACAGACUCAAGGACAAUUUGCACGGCAAAAACCAGUAGGAUUCGCUGAUGGACGGAAUACAGGAGGGGAGAGGUAGAUUGUUAGGGCUAUAGCUUAGUUUUCUUAUACAAGAUGGAUUCAGUUGCAAUGACAUUGUUAAUUGAAACUGACUUUAAAUAAUGACACGACCUACUUAGGCAAACAUUUGCCUCAGAUAAAAUGUCAACUUUAUUACAGUUUUUAGCUGGAUGGACAGCACGGCUCUACUUCCUAUCUCUUGGUGUCUCUUAAUGUUGUUAACAAAAGGUUUUUCUCUUCUGAAAGGCUUAUUUCAGUGGAAGUCCAUCUGCAAAACCUGUUCUAAAUUUAAGUUAGAAAAUAACUACGAGUGCCAUUGACACGCUCAUUAUUGUUUUUGAGAGUGCCCUAAGGCCGCCUCUGGGGGAUCUGGGGACUGCCUUGUGAAGCCUGCGCGUCUGCACCGGGUGCCCUGCCUGGCGGCAGCGCCAAACCUGCAGUCCUAAGAGCGGGUUCGCUCGGGCCCCCAGGGGGUGUGUUUCCUGCCGCUUAACCUGCUAGGGGCGGUUCCAGUUGCCAGGAAAUGAAGCGCUUUUCAGGAUUCCGGGCCGUUGCUUUGAAAGAGAGGCGGAGGGGUGGCGGGAUUUCCCGGUUCUUGCCUCACUGGUCCAUCCGCCAGCGGCCCCUGACAAGGUUGUGCCCUUGAGGUGGACGGGCCCUUUAAGGCCCGCGCCUGCGCUUUGGGCUCUCAGCCGGGCGACCUGGAGGAGCCCGCGGGCUGCGGGAGGGGCUGGGCGGCGGUUGAGACGGCGGUUCCCGGAGUCGUAGGAUGCGGGUCCCCGGGCGCUGGAGUUUCUGAGUGAGCGCGAGACGCUUUUGUCAACGGCAGAAGGGCGACCUGCGGAGCCAGGAGCAGGCGGGGGCGCUGCAGGGCCGCGGCCAUCUCCACGGGAAGUUAACGUUUCCGGUGAAGUCCGCCCAGCGGUUCCGAGACAGGGUCUCACUCUGCUGCCCAGCCUGGAGUGUGGUCACAUGAUCUCAGCUCACUGCAGCCUCUACCUCCUGGCUCAAGUGAUCCUCUCACCUCAGCUCGUGAGUAGCUGUGACUAUAGGCAUGUGCCACCAUUGUCUGGCUAAUUUUUAUAUUUUUUGUAGAGAUGAGGAUUAUUCAACAUGUUUCCCAGGUUGGUGUGGAACUCCUGGGCUCAAGUAGUCUGCCUGCUUCAGCCUCUCAGAGUGCUGGGAUUACAGGUGUGACCAUCCCCACCUGGCUUGUGAUUCACUUUU